Molecule: long non-coding RNA, 807 nt
Organism: Morone saxatilis (striped sea-bass)
Lineage: Eukaryota; Metazoa; Chordata; Actinopteri; Moronidae
Exons: 3
Source: RefSeq, a predicted model, not a curated record
CAAUGUCAUGACAUGGCAGGCAAAAACAUUUUGGGUUAUUUUGCUUCCAUAACAUGUCUUCUUUCAGACUAGUGGAACAAAUACACAUUUCUAUAACUCUCCCUACAUCCCUAUUUGCAAACUUUGCACCCUGAAUUUGGACAUUUAAUUUUCCUGGGCUUUGAAAAACUCAGUUCUAAUGCUGUUUGGUAGACUCGGCCCUUUGACCCUCAGGCAGGCAGCCAAUGGGAAACACUGGGCUUCAGUUUUCAGAUAAAUGUCAUUAACUUGAACUAAAAGUCAAAGUGAUGUUCUGACGUUAGUGUUACAUCGAAUCAGGCGUCUUCACGGUUCCCUCGUCCUGGAAAACAUAAAAAAUCUGGAAAUUUAGACCAAAUAUCCUCAAAGUUUCCUGUAAAGUAGUUUUAUUUUCUUCCCUCACUCCGUAAACUCCAGUUCGUAUCUAUUCUGCAUCUUUUAAACAGUUUAUCCAGUUUAUUUAAAGUGGAACUGACUUCUCCUGAUAAUGAUCACGUUUCUUGUGGCUGUGAUAAAUACAUUAACUGUGAUGUUACAGAAUAAUGUAACCAGAAAGUCAGACACAAACUCUGGAAAAUGAUUUAUGAAAGAGAGAAACUGUCAAAUGUUAAAAGGAACGCUCAGCUCUGAUCUGUUUGUUUUCCUCCAGGUGAAUACAAGAAGGACGAACUUCUGGAAGCAGCGAGGAGUGGAAAUGAAGAAAAGCUGAUGGCGCUGCUGACUCCGUUAAACGUCAACUGCCACGCCAGCGACGGCCGCAAGUCAACAUCCCAAAAAAUGCUGGUAAGU